AUUUGAUGAUGAGGGCAAGAUGCACAUAGCUUCUUGAAUCUCUCCCAAUACUCGUACAAAAUUUCUCCAUUUUGCUGCCUUAUGCCACUUAUUUCCUUUCUAAUGUU
Molecule: non-coding RNA, 107 nt
Organism: Citrus sinensis (sweet orange)
Lineage: Eukaryota; Viridiplantae; Streptophyta; Magnoliopsida; Sapindales; Rutaceae
Source: Rfam